GACGAACGCUGGCGGCGUGCUUAACACAUGCAAGUCGAACGGUGAAGCGCCUUCCUUUUUGGUGGGUGUGGAUGAGUGGCGAACGGGUGAGUAACACGUGAGUAACCUGCCCCCUUCUUCUGGAUAACCGCAUGAAAGUGUGGCUAAUACGGGAUAUUCUGGGUCUGUCGCAUGAUGGGUCUGGGAAAGAUAUUGUUUCGGUGGGGGAUGGGCUCGCGGCCUAUCAGCUUGUUGGUGGGGUGAUGGCCUACCAAGGCGGUGACGGGUAGCCGGCCUGAGAGGGUGGACGGUCACACUGGGACUGAGACACGGCCCAGACUCCUACGGGAGGCAGCAGUGGGGAAUAUUGCACAAUGGGCGCAAGCCUGAUGCAGCGACGCCGCGUGAGGGAUGGAGGCCUGCGGGCUGUGAACCUCUUUCGCCAGUGAAGCAGGCCUGCCUCGUUUGUGGGUGGGUUGACGGUAGCUGGAUAAGAAGCGCCGGCUAACUACGUG
This 494-nucleotide ribosomal RNA is filed under the name uncultured bacterium. Its description in RNAcentral is "partial 16S ribosomal RNA". It matches the Rfam family "Bacterial small subunit ribosomal RNA", at positions 28 to 507 of the family's 1533-position model. The record is from RNAcentral.